This 617-nucleotide ribosomal RNA is filed under the name Cronobacter sakazakii. Its description in RNAcentral is "bacterial SSU rRNA". It matches the Rfam family "Bacterial small subunit ribosomal RNA", at positions 70 to 675 of the family's 1533-position model. The record is from RNAcentral. Lineage: Bacteria; Pseudomonadati; Pseudomonadota; Gammaproteobacteria; Enterobacterales; Enterobacteriaceae.
UAACAGGAAACAGCUUGCUGCUUCUUCUGACGAGUGGCGGACGGGUGAGUAAUGACUGGGAAACUGCCUGAUGGAGGGGGAUAACUACUGGAAACGGUAGCUAAUACCGCAUAACGUCGCAAGACCAAAGAGGGGGACCUUCGGGCCUCUUGCCAUCGGAUGUGCCCAGAUGGGAUUAGCUAGUAGGUGGGGUAACGGCUCACCUAGGCGACGAUCCCUAGCUGGUCUGAGAGGAUGACCAGCCACACUGGAACUGAGACACGGUCCAGACUCCUACGGGAGGCAGCAGUGGGGAAUAUUGCACAAUGGGCGCAAGCCUGAUGCAGCCAUGCCGCGUGUAUGAAGAAGGCCUUCGGGUUGUAAAGUACUUUCAGCGGGGAGGAAGGGAGUAAAGUUAAUACCUUUGCUCAUUGACGUUACCCGCAGAAGAAGCACCGGCUAACUCCGUGCCAGCAGCCGCGGUAAUACGGAGGGUGCAAGCGUUAAUCGGAAUUACUGGGCGUAAAGCGCACGCAGGCGGUUUGUUAAGUCAGAUGUGAAAUCCCCGGGCUCAACCUGGGAACUGCAUCUGAUACUGGCAAGCUUGAGUCUCGUAGAGGGGGGUAGAAUUCCAUGUG